CGAAGCACGUUCAGGGAAAAGAUUGAGUUUCGAUGACAUCAGACUUCACACACUGAGACAGGUAUUCAGACAGGUGAAUUCUGAUCAGGCUCCGCCCCUUUCAGGAUGCUCUCUCUGACCUGCAUCACCUGCAGAUUAAAACCAUCCCGAGGCUCCAUCUCAGUGAGAGAACCUCAAACUGCUGAACAGAGAACACUGACUGGCCUGCCACUCGUUGGACUUUCACAAUAAUAAAAAAAAUGACGACGGCACUGAUUCUGCUGAUGGCCAUGGUAAUGGUUUCUAUGGUACACCAUGUUCAAGGAACGUCUCACCUGUCAUUUGCCAACAACACAGAGGUGAACAUCACUCGAGCAGGCUGUGGAGACACUAAACUGUGUGUGCAGACUCCUGAUGGCUGUGACCCAGCAGCAAGCACCCAGUGUCUGUUUGCGUCGCUCAAUGCCAGCACCACCAUGGCCCCAAAUGGUACCGACCUGUCAGUGGAGCUCAGUGGGAACUCCAGCGGCUACAUUGCCCUGGGGCUGACCGCCAACGCAUCACAGGGAACCACCUUGCUUUUCAUCUGUGCUCAGAACAACGGGUCGUUCUUUUUCCGAACAAUGACAAGAAACAACAGCAACAGCAUGAUUUCUCCCUCAGAGACGAGAGUGACAGAAAUACGAGGCUCUGUAAACGGUGAUAUGAUCCAGUGUGAGUUCAUCAUCCCCGGUGCCAACGCCACUGACACCAGGAGCAGCAAUGACACCAUGUUCAUCGUCAUCCUGGGCCAAGGGCCCGUGAACGGAACUGCCAUCGGGUCCUUUAACGAGACCCUCAGGACUGACCUUCUGAACGUCUCAGACCCCAGCAGCAACGUUGCUCCGACACCAACCUCAAACACCACCUCAUCAGCCUCCACCAGUGCUGCUCAUCUUCAUGAUGUGCUGCUGCUGCUGCUGCCCAGUGUCCUCUCGGUGUCUCUCCUGAAGACGAACUAACAGGAUCCUGACAGUGCUGUGACACAAUGAUGUCUGUAAUAAGUGUGACGUGAAAAAAAAUACUCAACGUAUUGGCCGAUUUAUUACAUGUUGUUGCAAACCGUUAUUUACAGCAUUAACCAGACUUUUUUUUUGCACUUUGAGCUCAAAAGAGCAAUGGUGUACAGUUUUCUUUGUUUAUAGGUGUUUUCACGUUGUGCAAAUGAUAACAUAUUUGUAAAAUAUAUGAAUUUGAUCACUGCAGUGGUUGCAUUAAUAUUGGCCAGCAUCCAGGAGAAGCAUUGGCCUUGUUUAUUGUUCUGUAAAUGUUGUACUGUAUAAGCCAUAAAGAAUAAUAAAAGUGAUUUGUAAUCAAUUAGUUUAUCUUCA
Molecule: long non-coding RNA, 1349 nt
Filed under: Gouania willdenowi (blunt-snouted clingfish)
Lineage: Eukaryota; Metazoa; Chordata; Actinopteri; Blenniiformes; Gobiesocidae
Description: lncRNA (ENSGWIG00000025340.1)
Source: RNAcentral